GAUUCCUCAAGGUCAAGUUGCUGUCAAAAUAUAAGAGUGGUCAAAAGCCUCAGUUUUUUCUCUUUCUUUUUUUUUUUUUUUUUUUUUUUUUUUGACAAGAGGAACCUGAACAGUCUGCUGAAGCACCUGAUGUUUGGCCUUUCUGAAUGUCAUGGAACAUGUAGUCACUGUAUAUACAGACUUCACCAUCAAUUCAUACAGCAGAUAUCAUCAUACACAGUCUGGGUGUUGAUGAUUUGGGCCCAGAGAGACCAAGUAAGCGAAUUGCCUGAAGACACAUUGUUGGUGAGUAACAAAAUACGGGGACCUGGAGCAAUACUAAUUUCACAACCCUAUUUACUCUCUUCUGGAAAGUAAGAAAAAAAAAUGGUAUGACUCUGGAAAAAAUUGAUGAAGUUCCCAGGUCUCAGAUUAAAGCAUAAUAUUGGAGAAGCAGAAACUCCGUUUAUCACCCAGUGAAGUGAAUUUGAGGAUUAGAUCUUUCUCUGUUAGUUAUAGUGCAUUAUUCAGGGCAGAUACAUGUGCCUGACCAUGUUGAUCAGAUAAAGCAGAUGACCAUUAAAGUCCCCUAUCACAGUAUGAAAUAUGACUGUAUGUUCUGCUAUUCCUAUUUAAUGGAGAAAUGUGAGAAAGCUGUUCCUUGUUGAAAAUCAACUCACAAUAUAAACAAAUAACAUUGUAUCUAUUAACACUAGCAAAUGAGAACAGAAAAUAG
RNAcentral lists this long non-coding RNA (715 nucleotides) under Macaca fascicularis (crab-eating macaque). RNAcentral describes it as "lncRNA (ENSMFAG00000058455.1)". The record is from RNAcentral. Lineage: Eukaryota; Metazoa; Chordata; Mammalia; Primates; Cercopithecidae.